This 280-nucleotide small nuclear RNA is filed under the name Urocitellus parryii (Arctic ground squirrel). RNAcentral's name for it is "7SK RNA (ENSUPAG00010015218.1)". It matches the Rfam family "7SK RNA", at positions 1 to 287 of the family's 331-position model. From Rfam's summary of the family: 7SK was discovered as an abundant small nuclear RNA in the mid-70s but a possible function has only recently been suggested. Two independent studies have found that 7SK RNA binds the CDK9/cyclin T complex (known as elongation factor P-TEFb). The record is from RNAcentral. Lineage: Eukaryota; Metazoa; Chordata; Mammalia; Rodentia; Sciuridae.
GGAUGUGAGGGGCAAACAUCUGUSAACCCAUUGAUUGCCAAUGUUGAUUCAGCUGAUCUAGCUGGCUAGGCAGGUGUCCCUUUCCUCCAGAAGCUGUACCCUCAGUUGAAGAGGAGAACCCCGAUGUUCUUCGGUCAAGGGUACAUGAGUAUAUAUGUUCCCCACUAGAACUUACAAAGAAGCUCUCAAAAACCUCAGURAAGCCAGGCACAGUGGUGUAUGCCUUUUUUUUAAAUAUUUAUUUUUAGUUAUAGGUGGGCACGAUAUCYUUAUUUUAUUA